Long non-coding RNA from Orcinus orca (killer whale), 2167 nucleotides. RefSeq lists it as uncharacterized. The record is from RefSeq and is a predicted model, not a curated record. Lineage: Eukaryota; Metazoa; Chordata; Mammalia; Artiodactyla; Delphinidae. The transcript has 3 exons.
GCGGCCUCGGGUGGGGUUGCUUCUCGCGUGCCCCUAGUGGUGGGAGGGUUAGGUGCCAGGCUCCACCUUGAUCUUCCCAAGUUUCUCAAGGCCACUGGCGCGGGGGUCACUGCCCCCAAGGAGGGACCUAAAGGGGGUGGAGGAGAGGCCGGAGGAGCGAAUGCGACAAGCUGGGAAAAUGCCCUCCCAGCUUUGGUUCUAGAAUCCCUACUCUCCCUACGGUGCUGCUGAACCUCCGCAGACGCCAAGAGAGAGAACUGACACAGUUCUUCAAGGCCGCGGGGAAUGGUGGUGUGUUGGGUUUGGGAGAAGUGGGCUCGUUUCUCAGCCUAACCUGAGCUUCCGCUGUCCCCAGGGGGAUGGCAUCCACUGCUACCAGGAAUGUGGAGGAAAAGGGCAGCGGGCAGUCCCAAGCCACAGACUCUGCAGCCUGCUUGGGUGGAGGUCCGAAGGUUUCCCAUUCUGAGGAACUCCUGACACAGAUCAGCGCAGAACUCACUGACGAGGCCUUGUUUGUCGCUGCCUACCACAUGAAUCCUGUGCCUGUCAAAGAAAGACAGACACAAGACCAAGGGACUCAGAUAUCCAAACACGGUGAACCCCACGCCAGGACCCUUCUGUCCAGAGACCCUCCGAUACCACUAGUUCCAGUCCCUGCUUCCAGUUAUGCCAGCCUCCUCAUUCUUCCUGGGGCGUGGCAGGCACGCUCCCGCCUUUGGACAGAUUAUGUGUGAGGGGCCCCUGGGAACUCCAGGUGGAAAUGCUCUGUAGACAGUUGGGAAUAUGGCUUCAGAACUCAGUGGCAAGGUCUGGGCUGGUGAUAGAGAUCUGAUCUAGGAGGAAGUUGGCAGUUGAAGGGUGUGCAGUUGCCCUGGUGGGCGGUGGGGUGGGGGGAUGGAGGGUUGUGCAGAGUGAGAAAGACGAGGGGCGCUGAGGAUGGAGCCUUGGAGAACCUCUCCAAGUCAGGGGUUGGCAGAGGAGGAGAGAGGGGUUCAUGAAGAUGGUAGAGAAGGAACUGACAGCAAUGUUUAUUUUAUUUUUUUUAAUGACUUUUUAAAAUUUAUUUAUUUAUUUUUGGCUGUGUUGGGUCUUCGUUGCUGCACAGGGGCUUUCUCUACUUGCGGCGAGCGGGGGCUACUCUUCGUUGUGGUGUGCGGACUUCUCAUUUCAGUGGCUUCUCUUGUUGUGGAGCACGGGCUCUAGGCGCGCGGGCUUCAGUAGUUGUGGCACACGGACUCAGUAGUUGCGGCUCGCAGGCUCUAGAGCACAAGCUUAGUUGCUCCGCGGCAUGUGGGAUCUUCCCGGACCAGGCAUCUAACCCGUGUCCCCUGCAUUGGUAGGCGGUUUCUCAACCAGUGCACCACCAGGGAAGUCUCAGCAAAUGUUUAUUGAGUGUCUGUUAUGAAUAGGGAAUGAUAGGUAGAUUUGUGGAUGGAUGGAAAGAGAAUGGUGGGCGGAUGGAUAGAUGGAUAGGUGGGGAAUGGUGGAUGGAUAAAUCGGUGGAUGGGGGAUAGGGGUUGGAUGGAUAGGUGAAGGAUGGAAAGAUAAAAAGACAUGAACCUUGAAUCUAAAGUCAAAAGACUCUUAUUCUUUUCUAGGGAGCUCUGCCUAGCAACUUGACAUCUGGAGGAUGAUCCCAACUCUGGUGCUGCUCUUGGCCUCUCGUGCCCUCUCCCCACUCUGUUCCUCUAGAACAUGCACCAAAGCUCCUCUUUCACAACUCAUUCAACAGUUUGGUUUUGGGGCGAUUCCUGGUCAUGAGCAACAUCACCCCUGAAGCCUCCAAAGGGUUCUGGAACCAUCACACACCUCUCCACCCUCAGCUAGCAAGGACACCACCAGAAAUCAAAAACUUUAAUAAAGUGACAGAGAUCCUCCCUCCUCUCAGGCUGGGCAGUGCUCUCUGUGGGGUGAUGUGGGAGGAGUGCCCCUCCCCCUUUUUGCCAGAUAUGUGGGCAUAUUAUUUUAUUUAUUUAUUUCCUAUUCCUUUUUUUUUUAAUCAUCUUUAUUGGAGUAUAAUUGUUUUACAAUAUUCCUAUUCCUUUUUUUUUUAACAUCUAUUGGAGUAUAAUUGCUUUACAAUGGGAUGUUAAGUUUCUUGGGCAUAUUAUUGGAAUGGCUUUUUUUUCUUUUUGAGUGAUUUUUCUUUUAAAAAUUUUUUUUUUUU